RNAcentral lists this ribosomal RNA (253 nucleotides) under uncultured bacterium. RNAcentral describes it as "partial 16S ribosomal RNA". It matches the Rfam family "Bacterial small subunit ribosomal RNA", at positions 524 to 776 of the family's 1533-position model. The record is from RNAcentral.
UACGUAGGGGGCAAGCGUUGUCCGGAUUUAUUGGGCGUAAAGAGCGUGUAGGCGGCUUUGCAAGUCCGUUGUGAAAACUCGAGGCUCAACCUCGAGACGCCGGUGGAAACUGCAAAGCUAGAGUCCGGAAGAGGAGAGUGGAAUUCCUGGUGUAGCGGUGAAAUGCGCAGAUAUCAGGAAGAACACCCGUGGCGAAGGCGGCUCUCUGGAACGCAACUGACGCUGAGACGCGAAAGCGUGGGGAGCAAACAGG